Molecule: ribosomal RNA, 493 nt
Filed under: uncultured bacterium
Lineage: Bacteria
Description: partial 16S ribosomal RNA
Rfam family: Bacterial small subunit ribosomal RNA
Source: RNAcentral
AUUGAACGCUGGCGGCAUGCUUUACACAUGCAAGUCGAACGGUAACAAGUUAAGCUGACGAGUGGCGAACGGGUGAGUAAUGCAUCGGAACGUGCCCGGUCGUGGGGGAUAACGCAGCGAAAGCUGCGCUAAUACCGCAUACGAUCUGAGGAUGGAAGCGGGGGACCGUAAGGCCUCGCGCGAUCGGAGCGGCCGAUGUCAGAUUAGGUAGUUGGUGGGGUAAAGGCUAACCAAGCCAACGAUCUGUAGCUGGUCUGAGAGGACGACCAGCCACACUGGGACUGAGACACGGCCCAGACUCCUACGGGAGGCAGCAGUGGGGAAUUUUGGACAAUGGGCGAAAGCCUGAUCCAGAAAUGCCGCGUGCAGGAAGAAGGCCUUCGGGUUGUAAACUGCUUUUGUACGGAGCGAAAAGGUCUCCUCUAAUACAGGGGGCUCAUGACGGUACCGUAAGAAUAAGCACCGGCUAACUACGUGCCAGCAGCCGCCGUAA